AGAACGAACGCUGGCGGCAGGCCUAACACAUGCAAGUCGAACGCCCGUAGCAAUACGGGAGUGGCAGACGGGUGAGUAACGCGUGGGAACGUACCUUUCGGUUCGGAAUAACCCGGGGAAACUCGGGCUAAUACCGGAUACGUCCGCAAGGAGAAAGAUUUAUCGCCGAAAGAUCGGCCCGCGUCGGAUUAGCUAGUUGGUGAGGUAACGGCCCACCAAGGCGACGAUCCGUAGCUGGUCUGAGAGGAUGAUCAGCCACACUGGGACUGAGACACGGCCCAGACUCCUACGUGAGGCAGCAGUGGGGAAUAUUGGACAAUGGGCGAAAGCCUGAUCCAGCCAUGCCGCGUGAGUGAAGAAGGCCUUAGGGUUGUAAAGCUCUUUCAGCGGGGAAGAUAAUGACGGUACCGCAGAAGAAGUCCCGGCUAACUUCGUGCCAGCAGCCGC
This 447-nucleotide ribosomal RNA is filed under the name uncultured bacterium. RNAcentral's name for it is "SSU rRNA". It matches the Rfam family "Bacterial small subunit ribosomal RNA", at positions 26 to 518 of the family's 1533-position model. The record is from RNAcentral.